UGAUGAAAUAAUGUAACCCUACCGACUGUACCCCAAACCCUUUUUUUUUUCUGUAUCCCCUUGUUUUUUGUUCAUUUUCCUUUACUGGAAAUAAUUUGGAAAAUAAAGAAAAAUGUAAAUUGCAAAAAAAAAAAGUUGUCAAAAGAACCAAACAAUAACAAAAUAUAUCAGCAAAAUCACCUUCCCUCUCACUAGUCAGUGACAGUACAAAGUAUAGAAACCUAAACUGGACCAUAUUGGCCUUUUUCUAUUCUUCUCUCGCAUUUUUCUAUAUUCAUUUGGUUUUAUUGUGAUUAUUUGCUAUCUGCAUAUUUCUUUGGUUUCCCAUCUUGCUCUCUACUAUUUUCAGCCUAUGGUUCCCCACUGUUUUUCUUUCACCUUCCCAUUCGACUCCCUUUGUUGAUUUGCCUUUUCGAUCUGUCUGUCCUGGAGAUUUUAGCCACAUAGCAACUUUUUUUUCCAGUUUCCCCUGUCUCCUCUUGGAUCCAUGCUGGUAUUCUCCACCUGUAUUGUUAGCAUGGCUUUGUAGGCUGCCUCUGGGUGCCAAUGUUGUUUUUGUUUAGUUUUUCUGUGGCUUUAUGCAACCAGUACAUGUGCAGUGACAUAGUUUGAAUGCAGCGGCAUUGUUCGUAGUUUAGUGCUGUUCACUUGGUUGCUGGGCAGAUUACUGCUUUCUCUCUUGCCCUGUUUAUUCCUUCCCACCCCUUUUGCUGGUUAAGUUUCUUACUCCUGCCCAGUGGCGGAAUUACCGCGGUUGCAGCAGCGACCGGGCCCGUCACUCAACCGCGGGGCCCGCCGGCUAAGUAAUGCGGCCUCGGCCCGUGCGGUAUAACCACUGGGGCCGCAUUGAAGGGGUCCAUCGGGUGGCCCAUGCUGUUAGGGCCACCCAAUGCUAUGUAUUUCCAGGGGGCAAUUUUCACACUGUUACCCCGUGGUUUCUAGUUACGCCUCUGCUCUUCCCCAUCCUGUUUCCUGCUCAACGCUCUUGCUGAGGAAUGUAGCGUACUGCCUUUAUCUAUCAUUUUUCACAAGGUAGAUACAAUCCUACUGCUAUCCUGCUCAGUACUGUUUCAUAUGCCUUGGUACUAUCCUAGUUAUUUUGGUGCUCUGUAUUUUUUGUAAUUUGUUGCUAUUGUGCACAUUUGGUCUUUCCCUUUAUUUGGUAAUCCAUGGGUGUAAUUGGGAACUGCUGGACCUGAGUGCAAGAAUCAAAAAAGAUUGUAUCUGCUUGCUUCCCCAGCUAUGCAUGUGAGUAGGAUGUGCUGCAGGUGCUGAGUGUGAUUGUAUGUGGUGGUUGCCUGGGUGUGACUCUGGUGUUGCUCCUCCUUACUUCCCUAAGCAAUACACAUGUGUGGCAUGUGUGUGAUCGUUGUGUGUAAUUGGUUGUUG
Molecule: non-coding RNA, 1389 nt
Organism: Pelobates cultripes (western spadefoot toad)
Lineage: Eukaryota; Metazoa; Chordata; Amphibia; Anura; Pelobatidae
Source: the annotation of a GenBank genome assembly